CCUACGGGUGGCAGCAGUGGGGAAUAUUGCACAAUGGGGGAAACCCUGAUGCAGCAACGCCGCGUGAGUGAUGACGGCUUUCGGGUUGUAAAGCUCUGUCUUCAGGGACGAUAAUGACGGUACCUGACUAGGAAGCCACGGCUAACUACGUGCCAGCAGCCGCGGUAAUACGUAGGUGGCGAGCGUUGUCCGGAUUUACUGGGCGUAAGGGGAGCGUAGGCGGACGUUUAAGUGAGAUGUGAAAUACCAGGGCUCAACUAUGGUGCUGCAUUGCAAACUGGGAGGCUGGAGUGCAGGAGAGGUGAACGGAAUUCCUAGUGUAGCGGUGAAAUGCGUAGAGAUUAGGAGGAACACCAGUGGCGAAGGCGAUUCACUGGACUGCAACUGACGCUGAGGCUCGAAAGCGUGGGGAGCAAACAGGAUUAGAUACCCUAGUAGUC
RNAcentral lists this ribosomal RNA (440 nucleotides) under uncultured bacterium. RNAcentral describes it as "partial 16S ribosomal RNA". It matches the Rfam family "Bacterial small subunit ribosomal RNA", at positions 338 to 795 of the family's 1533-position model. The record is from RNAcentral.